RNAcentral lists this transfer RNA (71 nucleotides) under Bacteriophage sp. Its description in RNAcentral is "tRNA-Glu". It matches the Rfam family "tRNA". From Rfam's summary of the family: Transfer RNA (tRNA) molecules are approximately 80 nucleotides in length. Their secondary structure includes four short double-helical elements and three loops (D, anti-codon, and T loops). RNAcentral also lists the same sequence under 3 other names. The record is from RNAcentral.
GGGGCAUUAGUCAAAAGGUAAGACAAUGGAUUUUCAUUCCAUGAGUAUCGGUUCGAGUCCGUUAUGCCCUA